This 230-nucleotide long non-coding RNA is filed under the name Elaeis guineensis (African oil palm). Its description in RNAcentral is "long non-coding RNA (EGUI_LNC053908)". Lineage: Eukaryota; Viridiplantae; Streptophyta; Magnoliopsida; Arecales; Arecaceae. The record is from RNAcentral.
GGUGCCCCCUUGCUGGUGUGAGGUGUCACACCAGCAUCUCUCCUCCUUUGUUUGAUUGGAUUGUGAAGGUGAUUUAAUCAGAGUUCAUCCUGCUUCCUGUGUUGUCUGGCGUGCAUGUAAGUAGAGGGUUUGUACUUUCAGACCUCCAUAAAGGUUGAUUCCAGAUUAUUAGAGAUUUGAUUCUCAGUUUCACUACUAUUUGGGUAAAGAUUUGAUCUUUAUUCAUGUAG